GUUCCUUAUUUUCCAUGAAGCACCUUGGUUUUUCCUGAAACCUCUUCUAGUUAGCCUUUGAUUUCUUCUGCUCAUUAGCUUUCUGAAUUUUCUUGCAACUAGAGCUAAUUCUUCAUCAUCAUCAUAGGAAAGCUCUUCCAACUCUUCUUCAAGGAUGUUAGCUUUAAGUGCAAUACUCUUUUUCUUUUCCUUUGCUUCCCUUCGGUCUUCUUCUUCUUCUUCUUCCUUAAGCUCCAGCUCAUGAGUAAGAAAAUAACCACAAAUCUCAUCGAUUGUGAUGAUGUUCAAAUCUUUAGCCUCUCUAAUGGCAGUCACUUUUGGUUUCCAAGAUUUUGGAAGGCUUCUAAGCAGUCU
Molecule: long non-coding RNA, 354 nt
Filed under: Theobroma cacao (cacao)
Lineage: Eukaryota; Viridiplantae; Streptophyta; Magnoliopsida; Malvales; Malvaceae
Description: long non-coding RNA (TCAC_LNC001219)
Source: RNAcentral